Molecule: non-coding RNA, 29 nt
Filed under: Homo sapiens (human)
Lineage: Eukaryota; Metazoa; Chordata; Mammalia; Primates; Hominidae
Source: RNAcentral
AGAUGAGUAACUCCUCCUUCGCAGGCCCA